UAACGCGAAGAACCUUACCUGGGCUUGAUAUCCUAAGAACCUUAUAGAGAUAUGAGGGUGCUAGCUUGCUAGAACUUAGAGACAGGUGCUGCACGGCUGUCGUUAGCUCGUGUCGUGAGAUGUUGGGUUAAGUCCCGCAACGAGCGCAACCCACGUAUUUAGUUGCUAACACUUCGGGUGAGCACUCUAAAUAGACUGCCUUCGUAAGGAGGAGGAAGGUGUGGACGACGUCAAGUCAUCAUGGCCCUUAUGCCCAGGGCGACACACGUGCUACAAUGGCAUAUACAAUGAGACGCAAUACCGCGAGGUGGAGCAAAUCUAUAAAAUAUGUCCCAGUUCGGAUUGUUCUCUGCAACUCGAGAGCAUGAAGCCGGAAUCGCUAGUAAUCGUAGAUCAGCCAUGCUACGGUGAAUA
This 414-nucleotide ribosomal RNA is filed under the name uncultured bacterium. RNAcentral's name for it is "bacterial SSU rRNA". It matches the Rfam family "Bacterial small subunit ribosomal RNA", at positions 957 to 1368 of the family's 1533-position model. The record is from RNAcentral.